Molecule: long non-coding RNA, 2660 nt
Filed under: Pelobates cultripes (western spadefoot toad)
Lineage: Eukaryota; Metazoa; Chordata; Amphibia; Anura; Pelobatidae
Source: RNAcentral
CCUGUGUUGUGUUAUGGGUGGCAUUUCAAUGAAAUUCACCAACACAGUCAGCAUUAGUAUUAAAGAUUCUUUUAUCAAAUCCUGAAAAUUGACAGCUUUUUUUUUUUUUUUUUCUGUUAAUCAUAACCAUUGAUGUCACAAGUAAGAUAUAUUUGGUUGGGUCUUCAGAUUUCACUCAAGAUAACUAGUGCAACUAAAACUUAAAUCUGGUAUGCAUAUCUGAAGUAAUCCAAAAAUACAUACAUGCCACCAUAGUAUUUUUAUUUCUAGUACUUCACUGCUUGCGUUCAUUACAGUAGUCUGCCUUGUACUUGUUUGAAGUUCAUUUGCAUUUUAGGGCCUGUAAUAUUUUUGGAAAUGUGAUUUUAAUUUACAUACUGCUGCAGUUCCAGUUUUCAUAUGAGGAAGUUUCACUUUCCUCAUUUUGUGUCCAAAUUAUUAGUGAGCAUGGUUUGGCUGCUCCAAAUUGGUUACCUUUUUAGCCCUUCUCUAAUUCCUGAUUACUCCUACUGAUACAGUAUUUUGGACAGAGAUGGUGAGGCUUGAGUGCCUGAGGAAGUUUUUGUGUACAUCGGUGUAUAACUUACAUAAACACGAGGGAGUGCAUUAAAGUACUCUUUGUACCAAAAUCACUACAAUGAGCUCUAGUGAUUAUGUUGCCUGGCAUAUCAUGUCAAUGUAAUAUUACAGUUAAAUGAAAGACUAACAUGUACUAAUACUAGUUUUCCAAUUUGAUGAAUGUAUUAGCAAGCGAACAUCAUUUUGGGAGCCCAACAGAAAAGCAUAAGAACCACACAUCUGUAAUACAUUACAUGGGGCUGGAUUGAGGGCUAUUUUCAGACUGAAGUGUUCCUUUAGUUAUAUGCAAUGUCAAAUUUUAUAACCUGAAUUAUAUUUAAUUUUAAAGUUAUCAAAUGACAGCUACUAAAUGAGUUUUUAAAGUAUGAGGUAAUGCAACUAAGAAUUUUUGAGACCAAUUACUUGCUGUUUGGUUGCAGUCACACAUACAUUGUCUACUGAAAGGAGCAUGAUCGAAUCAUUUUACAAGUACCCAGUUAAAUACCACAACCAUAAGUGAGCUUCCUAGAACCUGUCUAGAAUCCAAUUUAAAGAGUACUUGUCAUGACAAAUGCAACUUAAUCUUAAAUGAUAAUCAAAUUUCAUCUAUGUUUUGGUAGCAUUAUUGCUAGCAAAAUCUAGAUUUCUCUAAAAUUACAGGUUGAAAAAUAGCUCUAUCUUCCUCUUCAGUCAGUGUCGAUCAGCACAUAAGAAGGCUGUGCUCUGUAUGUAUGUCAUCAAGGAAACCCUCCUCUUGGCCUACCUCCUGCUUGAAUUCUUUCUAAGGGAAAGCAAUGCCUGCAAGGGGAAGUGGAGAGAAGGGUGAGAGCAGCAUCUUCAUGUAGAGCAUGGAGACUCUGCCUGUGAAGUACUUAAACAGGAAGCACCUCUAGUGGCCGUGUGAGUGAAAAGGCAGCAUUUACUUUUAAAAACAUGCAGAGACAUACUAUAGACACUAGAAUGACUACAUUAGGCUGUAGUGGUUCUGGUGACUAGUGUCCCUUUAACGGUAUACCACAAGUCAAGCCAGAUGGUUAGAAACCUGUAAACCUAUAUCUAUCAUGACCUGUUAACUGUAGUCUGUUACGGUGUGGCAUGUGAUCCAUACAUUUCUGUGUUCUGAGCUGAGAAUGGUAAAUGUGCGGUUCCUCAUCAGUACAGCAAAACUUUAUUUACGGUGUUCUGUUUUUGUGUGCUCUAUGUGAGAGUAGAAUGUAAAAUACCUUAAAAAGCCUAAUUUAUUAUAGUUCAUUAAAAUUAGUCUGUCUUUAAAAAAAAAAAAAGUCUUAACUCCUGUGGUCUGUGAAGGAAAUAGCCUUAAUUCUGAGCAAUGUUUCCACAGAACUGCCUGAACAUUUGUGCUGUAAUGUCAGAUUCUCAGUGAACCCAGUAGAAGAGUUUCAUGUAUUUGAAUAUCCAUUGCUUUACCUAUGGUGCUUUGUUCAUCUCUAAAUUAGAUUCAUGGAGUGCAUUCUACCUCUUGGUUUUGGUCAAGCCGUUUUUAACUCCAUUGUAUGCCAUUCAUUGCAAAUAUUUAAUCAGUGGAUUAUGGAUAAUGUAUUUGUGAGUUGAUUGUGUUUUUCAAAGAAUUGCAGGUUUCAUUUCAAGUGUUCCUUUAAUUAGUUUGUUAGGAAAUCAGGUUUCUUCAGGCUAGAAUUGGUUGCUUUGUAUAAUUUGCAUCUACACUAAGGCUGCCAAGAUAUGAUUCCAAACAAUCUCCAAAAGUGUGCAUUCUUCUGUUGCUUAGAAUAGUUUUUGAAUAUACAAGAGUUUACAUCUUUUUCAUGGAACAAAGAGUAUGCAGGUCUGUUCCUUGAUUGGGGCGCUUAACUGUAACAAAACAUAGGUACUUGAAGUGCCCAGAGAGCCCCUUCUGAGGACUAGUGACAAUCCAUGCCAUGAUGGACAUAGUGCCCACUUCCAUCAUCUGCCCUACAGAUCCGUGCUAUAGGGGUACUAUUAAAUGGUGAAGUUUGUUUAAAAAAAAAAAAACCAGAACUACCCCAAAGCAUUAAUGUUGUAAUGAACAUGUCCUGGUGUCACUUUAUAGAACUUGGUUUCAUGCUUGGCAAUUGCUUGUGUGUGUGUGUGUGUGUGUGUGU